This 497-nucleotide ribosomal RNA is filed under the name uncultured bacterium. RNAcentral's name for it is "partial 16S ribosomal RNA". It matches the Rfam family "Bacterial small subunit ribosomal RNA", at positions 28 to 507 of the family's 1533-position model. The record is from RNAcentral.
GAUGAACGCUGGCGGCGUGCCUAAUACAUGCAAGUCGAGCGAACGGACGAGAAGCUUGCUUCUCUUAUGUUAGCGGCGGACGGGUGAGUAACACGUGGAGAACCUACCUAUAAGACUGGGAUAACUUCGGGAAACCGGAGCUAAUACCGCAUGAUAUUUUUAACCGCAUGGUUCAAGAUUGAAAGACGGUCUUGCUUUCACUUAUGGAUAUAUCCGCGUUUAAUUAGCUAGUUGGUAAGGUAACGGCUUACCAAGCGAACGUUGAUUAGCGGACCUGGGAGGGGGACCGCCACAACUGGAACUGAGCCACGGUCAAAACUCUUACGGGAGGAACCAGAAGGGAAUCUUGCGCAAAGGGCGAAAGCCUGCCGGAGCAACGCCGCGUGAGUGAUGAAGGUCUCCGGAUCGUAAACCUCUGUGAUAAGGGAAGAACAUAGGUGUAAGUAAAUGUGCAUAUAGUGACGGUACCUACUCAGAAAGCCACGGCUAACUACGUG